CCAGGGAGUGUGUUACCCACUGAUCUUCAAGGCCUCUUCUGGAGGACAUUUUCCAGCUAGCAGCAGCUUCCUGAAACACAUCCUCAGAUAAGUGACUGUGCAGCAACAAUCUUUGCCAAAUGUUUUGUGAGACAUAAGUCUUGUUUUUUCCAACAAAACUGUUUCCAAACAGAAAUGUCUGCUAUGCUCAUUUGCUCUCACGUCUCAUUUCUCUCUUUCUCCUCCCUCUCUACCUCUCUUGCUUCUUCCCUCCCUCCAUAUCUCCCCAUCUUCUGUGCCAUACUAUGCUUAUAAACGAUCAAUACUAGGGCUUCUAAAACACUAGGAUUAGUCUGGCAAGAUUGCUCAGUAGAUUUCUGCCAAGCCUUUCCAACCUGAGUUUGAUCCCUGAGAACCCCAGGGUAGGAGGAAAGAACUGACUGACCCAAGGUAUCCUCUGACUUCCACACAUGCACCAUGAUACAUCCCUCCGAUCAAACAUACACACAAAUAAAAAUGUGGUAAAUAAAAUGGUAAGUUGUCACCAAUAGUGGAAAGGAAUACAGAGGAAGAUAAGGCUUAUUUGCUUAUCCUCAAGCAUAACAACUGUACAGAUCAUUUCUCCACAGCAGAUAACUAGUCACCACCAUGUUCGGCUGUAGAAGAGAGAAAAUUCAGUUGACUGCCUGCCUUUCUCAGUAGGGUCCAUUGUCCACCAAGUUCUUUUAUUUUGUAUAGAGUUUGUAAACGUUUGAAAGUUUUUAUAACUUUGUAAACUCUUCAAAGGGUUUCGGUCAACACACACAUUGUGUCAGGAAAGGGUCAGUGCUUGGUCACGAAACUUCCUGCUGGGGAGGCAGCCCUGAAAUAUGUGCUUGAGUGUGUGGUUCUUACUAAGCACAGCUAUCGUUUUUUCUCUUCGUAUGCCGCUUCUGUUUUGUUUUUCAAGUCUCAUUUAUCCUUCGUGCACAGGUGACUUUGUCAGGGGGUGUAUUGGGCACUGACAGUGAUGUCACAAGAUGAACAAGGACCUAUGCUCCUUUUGCCUACUGCAUCCAAAACCAGAAAUUUGAAGACAUACAUUUACACCAACCACCCAUAUCCACCGACACCCUGGAUUUUGUUCUUACUGGAAGUCUUUUACUUCUGGAAUGUUAAGCACAAUCCUCAACUUCAGGAAACAGCUGCUUUUCCUUUUUGUGUAGCCAUUUAUUUAUUUAUUUAUUUGUUUGUUUGUUUGUUUGUUUGUUUAUUUAGAACAGAAUGUUGAAACAAGCUCCAAAAAGACCAACUCUGUGACCAUAUCAAUGCUAUAGGUACCUAGGGUCUGUCUGUCACUUCAGCUGGGCUCUCUCUCUCUCUCAAAGCAUUCAGCACAUUAGAGAUGAGGUAGAAAAGACAGGCACUUUGGGGACUUUGUCAUCAGGAAGUGUGGUGGCUUAUUCUUAGUACACCAGCACACUCAGGACUCGGCCUUUGGAACUCACAGAUGAGGUUUAUCUGGAUGUUUGUAAGUAUGAUGGGACAAUCUGAUACUUGGAUUUACCCUCUUAGUUUGCUUCACUUUUAGGGUUAUUCUGACUGUUCAGUGCCAUUGUCAAGACUACAAAAUUCAAAACAGUUGAAGCAACUAAUAAGUUAGGAAAACUCUGAUUGAGUUUCCUGAGGAGUCCACAAGCAUCCUACAGGUUAAUUGAAUUUUUAUAGAUUAAUUCUCUGUUCUGGAUUUGAAGUGGCCUUUCGGUGUCCAAACCAGUGAUGGGCGAAAUGAAAAACCCUAAAUUAGAUAGAUCAUCUCUGCAUCAUCCUGAAGAUCACAGUGCUCCAUCAGAAGACAGGAACUGGUUGGGGAAGAGACAGAGUGGAGUUCCUGGGGCAUUUGAGAGCAUUGGUCUAUGUCUGGGGGUGAGGCUGGUUGGGUAUAUGCACAGGAGUACAGUGACUAUAGAACACAGAAAAGGUGUCAGGUUCCCUGAAGCUGGAGUGGCCGAUGGUUGUGAUGUGGGUGCUGCGACUCAACUCGGCUCUUCUGGAAAGCCAUCUGCUAAGCCAUUUCUCCACUCUCUACUCUCCAGCUGUGCUUCAUCAUUUUUCGAUUGACAGAAGGUAAUGAUGUAAGGUUGAACUGACAAGAGAUUGUUUGAUCAUUCCUCACCUGGCUCUCCUGCAAUUUAGAGCCUUGAGAUACAGACUUUCUCAUUAAAUAAGAACCUUUGACUUCGAAAACAAACCGCUUGGAAAAGCCAUAAUGGGAUCAACCCCCAGCCCAUAACGCCCAGAGACCUGAAGACAACACUGAAUCUCCAGUUUCCUGUUCCUCUCUGUUCUCUACCUGCUUCAAGGUCUUCCCUUCCAUUCUCCCCUGGGCAGAGCCGGGCAUAAAAAGUGAUCCUUUCUCCCAGAGACUGUUUUCUCAAUGUUGGAGGUCAAACUAGAUCAGCUCCACUCCACUUUCUUCUGCCACUUUACUGAAGAGAACUGGAAAGACUGUGGAAGAGACAGAGGGCAGCUCUGGUAUCUUCACUUCACUCAGAGUCUUGUCUUUAGGACAUUUGCCUUGUUUUUUUUUUUCCCUCUGGCCAGUGAAUAUUAGAGAUUUUCUCAAUGAAGAUUGGAGCAUUUGAUGAGAGAGCCACUAAUAAAUGAGGCAGCAUAAUAAAUCAGAAUGGGGCUUCUUUUUCAAAAAGUACCCUUUCAUGUCCUAUGCAAAUAAGAUCUGCUCUCUGGUUUUUAAGAGAGAGAGGAGCUCAUAUUAAUCCUCUGUUCAGCGCCAAGCAUAAAACUUAGAGAUUUGCAUAAAUAGCUAUCAUUUCGAUUUUCUCAACAACCAUAAUAAUAAGUUUGCCAACAUUUAUCCAGCUCUAAUUAUAUGUCAGGACCUCCGUUAAUAGAUUUACUUGAGUUAUCUAAUUACAGCCUCCCAAUCACACAUAAUAUAGGUACUCUCAUAUUAUCUUUGUUUUGCAGAUAUGAAGAAAACAUACAAAGAAGUUAACCAGCUUGCCCACAAAACCAUAAUUAAUAAAACAGGUCUGAGGUUUCUCUUUGGGGCCAAAUGAAUCCGUGUCCAAACACAUAGGUAAUAUGUUGACCUUGGGCUGUUUAAAAUGCUUGUUAAUGAUACUGGUCCAAGUACACUGUCUAAAAAUCCAGCUUGAAAACAGAAAAAGUCAACCUGGAAAAUGCACCUCUCUUUAUUGUUAAUUCAAGGCCCCGUGAUCCAGAUUGCCGUAGUUUCAUUUCUGUGACUGUGAUAAAAUACCCUGACAGAAGUAACUUAUGGGGGCAGAGGGAUUAUUGCAGUUUUCAAUUCUAUAUUACAGUCCAUCACUGAGAGAUGUCAAGGCAGGAACUUAAGACAACUAGUCACAUCACAUCCACAGUCAAGAACAGGGAAAUGAGUGCAAAUACCCUUACUUACUUGCUUUGCUUGUGCUCAGCUUGAACUUUCCACGUCUAUACCAUUUAGAUAUAUACCAACAUAGGGAAUGGUGCUUCCCAUCGUAAACUAGGUCUUCCCACAACAAUGAAUUCAAUUAAAACAACUCCUUACAGACACAUUCAAAGACUGUCUUAGUUAGUGUUCUACAUCUGUGAAAAGAUACCAUGACCAGGGCAACUCUUACAAAGGAAUGCAUUUAAUUGAGGCUUGUUUACAGUUUCAGAGGUUUAGUUCAUUGUCAUCAUGGCUGGGAUCAUGGUGGUAUGCAUGCAGACAUGGUGAAACACCACAAGAGCUAAUCAAAUUUAAAUAAUCCCUCACUGAGACUUUCUUCCCAGGCGAUUUUAUAUUGUGUCAAGUUGACAAAGCUAAGCAUGGUAUGCGUACUUUUCACUGCACUGCUUGAGAUUAGGACACAAUUUCCAACAAUUUCUAAAAUGGCCAGAAACAUUUUUUUGUGUGGUUUUGUAGUAUGUAUUUAUGCAAAGCGACAUUCUCAGAAUCAGUGGUUACAAAGUCAAAAUAUCAGUCAACUGAAAAAUGUUGAAGACAGUUUGUGUCCUGUAGUAACAAUUGUUCAACCAAGAUUUAAUUAUUUAUCAUGAAAUAAGAAAGCAAUGCAUGCCAUUAGUAGGAAAAUUUAUUUAGUCUUUAAUCAAUGUUAAGACUAUAUGUGUA
This is a long non-coding RNA of Peromyscus californicus insignis, 4099 nucleotides long. RefSeq lists it as uncharacterized. The transcript is spliced from 3 exons. The record is from RefSeq and is a predicted model, not a curated record. Lineage: Eukaryota; Metazoa; Chordata; Mammalia; Rodentia; Cricetidae.